Molecule: small nuclear RNA, 107 nt
Organism: Erinaceus europaeus (western European hedgehog)
Lineage: Eukaryota; Metazoa; Chordata; Mammalia; Eulipotyphla; Erinaceidae
Source: Ensembl
GUGCUCACUUCGGCAGCACAUAUACUAAAAUUGUAACGAUACAGAGAAGAUUAGCAUGGCCCAUGCGCAAGGAUGACACGCAAAAUCAAAAAACGUUCCAUAUUAAA